AUGGACAGCAGCCUCGGGAAGACUUGCGUGGCGCUGAACUCGGGUGCCUGCUGGGCCAGGUUGUGCAGCGCCCUCGCAGCCAACUCUCGGAUGACCCCAUCCCAGUGGCUGAUCUUCAUGGUAACCAGGUGGUCUAUCAUUGGCUGCGUGUACUCAGGAAAGCCGGCAAUAAACACACUUAUAACCAGGAAACAGUUGGAUCUGUUACCGACGGCAAAAUAGUCAGCUG
This 229-nucleotide unclassified non-coding RNA is filed under the name Hevea brasiliensis (rubber tree). Lineage: Eukaryota; Viridiplantae; Streptophyta; Magnoliopsida; Malpighiales; Euphorbiaceae. The record is from RNAcentral.